UACGUAGGGUGCGAGCGUUAAUCGGAAUUACUGGGCGUAAAGCGUGCGCAGGCGGUUUUGUAAGCCAGAUGUGAAAUCCCUCGGCUUAACCGAGGAACUGCCCUCCAAACUGCUUUGCUUGAGGCCGGGAGAGGUGAGUGGAAUUCCCAGUGUAGCGGUGAAAUGCGUAGAUAUCAAGAGGAACACCUGAGGUGAAGACGGGUUGCUGGGCUGACACUGACGCUGAUGCGCGAAAACCAGGGGAGCAAACGGG
This 253-nucleotide ribosomal RNA is filed under the name uncultured prokaryote. RNAcentral describes it as "partial 16S ribosomal RNA". It matches the Rfam family "Bacterial small subunit ribosomal RNA", at positions 524 to 776 of the family's 1533-position model. The record is from RNAcentral.